UACGUAGGGUGCAAGCGUUGUCCGGAAUUAUUGGGCGUAAAGAGCUCGUAGGCGGUUUGUUGCGUCGGCUGUGAAAACCUGAGGCUCAACCUCAGGCCUGCAGUCGAUACGAGCAGACUAGAGUGUUGCAGGGGAGACUGGAAUUCCUGGUGUAGCGGUGAAAUGCGCAGAUAUCAGGAGGAACACCGUUGGCGAAGGCGGGUCUCUGGGCAACAACUGACGCUGAGGAGCGAAAGCGUGGGGAGCGAACAGG
Molecule: ribosomal RNA, 253 nt
Filed under: uncultured bacterium
Lineage: Bacteria
Description: partial 16S ribosomal RNA
Rfam family: Bacterial small subunit ribosomal RNA
Source: RNAcentral